GAUAGAUGGAAUGUGAGUGUUCACACAGAUUAUCUGAUGAAGAUUGAGCAGAAGGUAUCAUUAGGCUUGUAGCUCAGGUGGUUAGAGCGCACCCCUGAUAAGGGUGAGGUCGGUGGUUCAAGUCCACUCAGGCCUACCAACGUUGCUGAUGGAUGUGGCUGAAAGGCAAGGUUAGCAGGAAGGUGUAAUGAUACGACAAUCUUAAUGGGGCUAUAGCUCAGCUGGGAGAGCGCCUGCUUUGCACGCAGGAGGUCAGCGGUUCGAUCCCGCUUAGCUCCACCAUAUUGCAAGAUAAAAAUAGAUAAAAAGUUAUUCAGAGCAGGCU
RNAcentral lists this transfer RNA (325 nucleotides) under Candidatus Arsenophonus triatominarum. RNAcentral describes it as "partial contains 16S ribosomal RNA and 16S-23S ribosomal RNA intergenic spacer". The stretch from base 207 to 279 matches the Rfam family "tRNA". Lineage: Bacteria; Pseudomonadati; Pseudomonadota; Gammaproteobacteria; Enterobacterales; Morganellaceae. The record is from RNAcentral.